UAAUACCGGAUAGAUCAAAGAUACUGGAAUGUUCCUUGAUCCAAAGCUCCGGCGUCCAAGGAUGGAUCUGCGGCCUAUCAGGUAGUAGUGGGUGUAACGUACCUACUAGCCUACGACGGGUACGGGUUGUGAGAGCAAGAGCCCGGAGAUGGAUUCUGAGACAUGAAUCCAGGCCCUACGGGGCGCAGCAGGCGCGAAAUCUUUACAAUGCAGGAAACUGCGAUAAGGGGACCCCGAGUGCCAGCAUCUAAUGCUGGCUGUCCAGCUGUGUAAAUAGCAGUUGUUAGCAAGGGCCGGGCAAGACCGGUGCCAGCCGCCGCGGUAACACCGGCGGCCCGAGUGGUAACCGAUUUUAUUGGGUUUAAAGGGUCCGUAGCCGGCUUACUAAGUCUCUUGGGAAAUCUGGCGGCUUAAUCGUCAGGCGUCC
This 427-nucleotide ribosomal RNA is filed under the name uncultured archaeon. Its description in RNAcentral is "bacterial SSU rRNA". It matches the Rfam family "Archaeal small subunit ribosomal RNA", at positions 147 to 575 of the family's 1478-position model. The record is from RNAcentral.